This 294-nucleotide unclassified non-coding RNA is filed under the name fungal sp. Its description in RNAcentral is "partial internal transcribed spacer region". The stretch from base 1 to 46 matches the Rfam family "Eukaryotic small subunit ribosomal RNA", at positions 1786 to 1831 of the family's 1831-position model. Lineage: Eukaryota; Fungi. The record is from RNAcentral.
AAGUCGUAACAAGGUUUCCGUAGGUGAACCUGCGGAAGGAUCAUUACCAAAUCCAAAAUACCCAAACCCCAUGUGAACUAUUGUAUAGUCUGUCUUUGGGAGAAAGUUCUGUGGCUUUUUGUUUUUUUACGAAAAACCCUUUACUUUCUCCCAAAAGAAUCCGGCAUAUCUUUAUGGAUGUGUUCAGAUUCUUUGAAACCCCUCUUUAAUAAACCACUUGAUUUUUGUUGGAAUUUUAUUUUUAUUAAUUUUUUAAUAAAAGACAACUUUUAACGGCGGAUCUCUUGGCUCGUG